Molecule: ribosomal RNA, 257 nt
Filed under: uncultured bacterium
Lineage: Bacteria
Description: partial 16S ribosomal RNA
Rfam family: Bacterial small subunit ribosomal RNA
Source: RNAcentral
UCGCCUACGGGGCGCAGCAGUGGGGAAUAUUGCACAAUGGGGGAAACCCUGAUGCAGCGACGCCGCGUGAGUGAGGAAGUAUUUCGGUAUGUAAAGCUCUAUCAGCAGGGAAGAAAAUGACGGUACCUGACUAAGAAGCCCCGGCUAACUACGUGCCAGCAGCCGCGGUAAUACGUAGGGGGCAAGCGUUAUCCGGAUUUACUGGGUGUAAAGGGAGCGUAGACGGCAGCGCAAGUCUGGAGUGAAAUGCCGGGACC